UAGGAAGUGAGUCUCAAGAAGAA
This 23-nucleotide non-coding RNA is filed under the name Arabidopsis thaliana (thale cress). The record is from RNAcentral. Lineage: Eukaryota; Viridiplantae; Streptophyta; Magnoliopsida; Brassicales; Brassicaceae.